This 1717-nucleotide unclassified non-coding RNA is filed under the name Homarus americanus (American lobster). RNAcentral describes it as "tubulin alpha-1C chain-like, transcript variant X4". The record is from RNAcentral. Lineage: Eukaryota; Metazoa; Arthropoda; Malacostraca; Decapoda; Nephropidae.
GGUCGGCGGAGCAACACACAAGUCACUGGCGUGCUCACCCAUCAACACGUGCGCACCAGCAACUAGUUCUGAUCUUAAGGUCUUCAACCUGAGUAAUACCUGGUUGUUUCUUGGGAUCAUUGUGUCAGGUGAAGUUCAGAAAACCACAAUACUGUUAACAAGAUGGUCAGCGGAGGUCGAGAAUGUAUCAGCAUGCACGUGGGUCAGGCUGGGGUGCAGAUGGGCAACGCGUGCUGGGAGCUGUAUUGCCUGGAACACGGCAUCCAAGCUGAUGGCGGCAUGAUAAUGGAUGAGACAGAGCCAAAUCAACCCUACAUAGCGGACGACUCGUUUAAUACCUUCUUCAACGAGACCAGAAUGGGAAAGCACGUGCCCAGGGCGGUGUUCAUUGACCUCGAGCCUACAGUGGUGGAUGAGAUCAGGACGGGUACCUACCGGUCACUCUUCGCCCCCGACACCCUCCGCACUGGCAAGGAGGAUGCUGCCAACAACUACGCCCGUGGCCACUACACCGUUGGUAGGGAACAGAUGGAUGUUAUUCGGGAAUGUGUUAGAAAACAAACGGAGCAGUGUUCAGGGCUUCAGGGCUUCCUUGUCUUCCACUCCUUUGGUGGAGGCACCGGAUCAGGUUUCGGCUCUCUUCUGAUGGAGCACCUGUCCAUUGACUAUGGUAAAAAGUCCAAGCUCUGCUUCUCCAUAUAUCCUGCCCCACAGGUCUCAACAGCUGUGGUUGAACCAUACAACUCCAUCCUCUUCACACACACAACACUGGAACAUGCGGACGUGACAUUUAUGGUGGAUAAUGAAGCCAUCUAUGACCUCUGUAAGAAGAGGCUCGACAUCUCCCGACCCACAUACACUAACCUCAACCGUAUGAUCGGGCAGGUGGUCUCCAGCAUCACAGCCUCACUCAGGUUCGAUGGAGCAUUGAAUGUUGACCUGACAGAGUUUCAGACCAAUCUUGUGCCUUACCCCAGGAUACACUUCCCACUGGCUACAUAUGCACCAGUAGUGUCAACUGAAAAUGCCUUCCAUGAGGAUUUUAGUGUGCGUGAUAUAACUGCUAACUGCUUUGAUACAACCUACCAGAUGGUCAAGUGUGAUCCCAGGAAUGGUAAAUAUAUGGCAUGUUGUCUCCUCUUCCGUGGGGAUGUUGUUCCUAAGGAUGUCAGCGCUGCCAUUGCCGAGACACGCACCAAGAAAAAUAUUACUUUUGUCGAUUGGUGUCCAACAGGCUUCAAGGUGGGCAUCAACUACCAGCCACCAACUGUGGUACCUGGUACUGACUUGGCUAAAGUAGAGAGAGCUGUUUGUGCUCUCUCAAACACAACUGCAAUUAAGGACGCCUGGGAGCGCCUCGACCGCAAGUUUGAUUUGAUGUUCUCCAAAAGAGCCUUUGUACACUGGUACGUUGGAGAAGGCAUGGAAGAAGGAGAGUUUACCGAGGCCAGAGAGGACACUGCUGCCUUAGAAAUGGACUACCAUGAGGUGGAGUCGAGCGCAGCUGAAAUAGAUGAUGAUGAUGAGGUUCUAGUAGACUACCUCCACUGAUCUGCAUCAUCUUCCCUCUGCUCCCUCCUCUCAUGCUUAAUAGAAGUAUGAUUCAAUGGAGAGUUUGCAGAAGCACGGGAGGAUCUAGCGGCCCUGGAAUUGGACUACCAUGAGGUCGAGCAGUCUCCACCAGAAGACGAAGAAUAUGAUGACAACUAUUAAGUCU